GAUGAACGCUAGCGGCAGGCCUAACACAUGCAAGUCGAACGGUAAGGCCCAGCUUGCUGGGUACACGAGUGGCGCACGGGUGAGUAACGCGUAUGCAACCUGCCUCGAACAGGAGGAUAGCCCCGAGAAAUUGGGAUUAAUACUCCAUAACACCAAUUGGUCGCAUGGCCAUAUGGUUAAAGCCCCGGCGGUUCGAGAUGGGCAUGCGUGACAUUAGUUUGUUGGUGAGGUAACGGCUCACCAAGACAGCGAUGUCUAGGGGUUCUGAGAGGACAGUCCCCCACACUGGUACUGAGACACGGACCAG
This 307-nucleotide ribosomal RNA is filed under the name uncultured bacterium. RNAcentral's name for it is "bacterial SSU rRNA". It matches the Rfam family "Bacterial small subunit ribosomal RNA", at positions 28 to 334 of the family's 1533-position model. The record is from RNAcentral.